This 193-nucleotide ribosomal RNA is filed under the name uncultured bacterium. RNAcentral describes it as "partial 16S ribosomal RNA". It matches the Rfam family "Bacterial small subunit ribosomal RNA", at positions 641 to 833 of the family's 1533-position model. The record is from RNAcentral.
CUAGAGUUUAUCAGAGGAAAGCGGAAUACAUAGUGUAGAGGUGAAAUUCGUAGAUAUUAUGUAGAACACCAGUUGCGAAGGCGGCUUUCUGGGAUAACACUGACGCUGAGGUGCGAAAGUAUGGGUAGCGAAGAGGAUUAGAUACCCUCGUAGUCCAUACCGUAAACGAUGAUUGUUAGAUGUUGGGAAUUUA